GGGCAUAUGGUCUAAUGGUAUGACAUUCCCAACGUACUGCUUGAGUAAGUGUACCUCGCUGCUUACUUAGUGCACCUCGCUGCCUAAGCUUUCGUAUGGUUCGUGUUUCUCACGCCAUUUGAAGAAAGUACUUGGGAGGGAUUCAAGGUUCAAUUCCUUGUGUGUCCA
This is a non-coding RNA of Xylaria bambusicola, 168 nucleotides long. The record is from the annotation of a RefSeq genome assembly. NCBI's taxonomy places the organism in Eukaryota, Fungi, Ascomycota, Sordariomycetes, Xylariales, Xylariaceae.